Molecule: ribosomal RNA, 253 nt
Filed under: uncultured bacterium
Lineage: Bacteria
Description: partial 16S ribosomal RNA
Rfam family: Bacterial small subunit ribosomal RNA
Source: RNAcentral
UACGUAGGGGGCAAGCGUUAUCCGGAUUUACUGGGUGUAAAGGGAGCGUAGACGGCAUAGCAAGUCUGAAGUGAAAGCCCGUGGCUCAACCGCGGAACUGCUUUGGAAACUGUUAAGCUGGAGUACUGGAGAGGCAAGCGGAAUUCCUAGUGUAGCGGUGAAAUGCGUAGAUAUUAGGAGGAACACCAGUGGCGAAGGCGGCUUGCUGGACAGAGACUGACGUUGAGGCUCGAAAGCGUGGGGAGCGAACAGG